RNAcentral lists this transfer RNA (77 nucleotides) under Desulfobacterales bacterium. Its description in RNAcentral is "tRNA-Met". It matches the Rfam family "tRNA". From Rfam's summary of the family: Transfer RNA (tRNA) molecules are approximately 80 nucleotides in length. Their secondary structure includes four short double-helical elements and three loops (D, anti-codon, and T loops). RNAcentral also lists the same sequence under 2 other names. The record is from RNAcentral. Lineage: Bacteria; Pseudomonadati; Thermodesulfobacteriota; Desulfobacteria; Desulfobacterales.
CGCGGGGUGGAGCAGUCUGGUAGCUCGUCGGGCUCAUAACCCGGAGGUCGGUGGUUCGAAUCCACCCCCCGCUACCA